ACAGCGCCCAGUUAUAAUCCAGGUUGAGGAACAGCUAUUUUUCAGCUUUUCUGGAGGAAUGCAAAGUUCUCUUUCCUUAAGACAAAUGAGUCUGUUGCCUGCUCCUGCCUGCCUCCCAUCUAAUCCUUUGCUCAGGGAGCGACUUUUGAAGUCAAUGAUGAUGCCAGAUUUGGAAGAAUUCUAGAGGCAUGUGUUUGGGGAGCAGCGUGGAUGAGAAUCAUAUUGGAUCUGCAGACGGACACUGGAAUAAAACUGGCCUCGUUCAACUGUUUGUGCAGUUCUUCCAGCAAUGGAGUUAUCACUUCACUUUUCAUGUGUCCAAAAGGAAACUUGGAAUCUGAAGUGCGUGAAUUUAACGAAGAAGAACAAACUUUUGAGCAAACCAGGGCUUACUGCAACACCUGGCUACCAGCCUGAAGAUGAAGUUAACAUAGGAGGAUAACAAAGCAAAGAGACUUUCAUUAAAGCAGAACUGGAACUUGACAUGCUGUACCUGCUGCCACCCUAUCUUGGAACUUCCUGUUCUGGAAGCCAGAAUUCUGACAUGGAUCUCACUAGACUAAAACCAAAGUGGUGGCAGGCCUCUGUUCCUUUCUGAAGGCUCUGAGGGAGAAUCCAUUUCCCACUCAAUCGGAUUGUUGGCAGAUUCAGCUACUUGAGGUUGUAGGAUCAAGAUUCUCAUUUUCUUUCUGGCUGUAAACGGAAUACCGUUCUGUUUCUGGAGGCCAUGACAUUCCUUGGCUUGUAGCCAUCCUCCUCUAUCUUCAAAGCCAGAAACCUGUGAGAGCUGCUUGGCUGCUGCCGGUGUCAUGCCUUGUGGGACAGAGAUGAAGCCCUCUGACUCCUGGAACCCAAGCAGGCCCGUUUGUGGAAGAAAUAAAAAAGAAUGCUGAUUCCUGCUCUAUUUGAUUUGAAACAAAAACACACAAAUCUCAGCAAGUAAGAUUAGAUGGGAGUUUCCUCAACCUUAUAUACUGCAUCUACAAAAAAAACUACGACUAACAUCAUACCUACUGGUGAAAGUCUGGAUGUUUACCCUACCAUCUAAGAUCAGAAAAAGAGCAUGAAUGUCCACACUCCCUGCUUCCAUUCAUCAAUGUAUCAGAAGUUCCUGUCAGUUAAAUAAGCCCUGACUCUCUCAACAUCCUUAUAUUCACAUUGUGCUGGAAUUCCUGCUCUUCUUCUGACAAGUUGUUAGCUACUUGCUGUGGACUCCUCUCCAUCAUGUGAAAUGCCCCAAGCCAGUAAGAUCUAGACCAAAGCCAUCUCCUCUAUAAGCACCUCGAGUACUUGGCUCCUACUUUUGAGCAAUGCUCCUCAAACGGUGAUCUCUGAACCAGCAGCAGCACCUGGGAACUUGUUAAAAAUGCAGAUUCUCCAGCCCCGUCCAUACCUACUGAGUCAGACAUCCAGAGCCUCGUCUGCAGCGCCUGAACCUGAUUUGGAUGAUGGGAUACUGGACCUUGAGUGUGAGAUGGAUGCUAUCCAGAUGAGAUAUUUGGGAGUUCAAGGAGCGGAUGCCUGGGACCCUGGAAUCUUCUCUGCAAUUGGAGUCUUCCCCAAAAACCCCCUCCAUAAGUGUAUGCAGCUGAUGCCCGCGGGCCGGCCAAGGAAGGGCUGUUUGCCACAGCUCUUUCGUGCGUCUGCUCAUGCUCCAAGCACAGGUCGUGCCAAGAGGCUCGGCAUAAACGGUUUCAAAUGCACAGAAUGUGAUGGGAAUCUCAUCUGAAACCAUAUGGCCUUUCACAAAUGCUCCAAAUGGCCACUACUCAAAGGAAGAAAUCAAGGCACAGAAGUGAAUUUACCUGACUGAGGUCACACAGCAAGCAGAACCAGGGUAUGAACCAAAGUUCUUCAGCGCUGGAUUAAAUUGCUCCUCACAGGAUCUCUCAUCCAAGCCAUGCUGCACGCUACGGCCACUUUAUUUUUCUAAAAUAGUGUUUUAAAUGUGACAGUAUGUACUAGCAACCUCAAUUACCCAUACCUGUUGGCUCAAAAUUUGAGUAAAAAUCUCUGGAAUUUUAUCCUAAGAAAAUAAUUAGUAACAUAUGGAAAGAUGUAUAUAUAGGGAUCUUCAUUACAACAUGAUUUAUAGUAGUUCAAAACUGGAGACACCUUUAAUGUUCAAUGGUUGAUUACACAGAACUGUGGCACGUUCACAUGAGGGACUAUACACCGUUAACAGUGCCACUGCAGAAGAGUGUUUGAUGACAUGGGAAAAUGUUCAAGAUUUACUAAGUGGGGGGUCGGGGGGAAGCAGAUUAUAAGUUAUAUAGAGCCAUAUAGAGUAUGGAUCCAAUUUUGUUAAAAAAGGAAAAAGCCCCAAACCCCAAACCAAAGCAAAACCAAAAAAUCCAAAAUAUACCAAAAUGUUAACCAAAAUUGUUUCUAAGGUAUUGGGACCCUAAGGGAGUUAUUUUCAUGCUUUUCCAAAAUUUUAUAAUGAAUAUAUGAUACCUUGUUAUCAGAGCCCCCUCUUACGAUAAACAUUAUUUUAAAAAUAACAUUCAAAUCCCACUACUUCUGUAGUAUCAUUUUUCUGCUCAAGGACGUGACAAUAAAUACUUAAUGUCUGUUACCCUAGGUUGAAAGUUUCUCUACCUACAAUUGAAGCCCCUUUGUCUAAGGCUUCUUGUUGGUUCUUCAGUCCCAACCUCUGAGUCCUUCUAGGAGACCAUAGCCAAAUUGAUCUCUUCAGUACGCUUCUCUUACCCAUCACCCACCAGCUCCGUGAUGGGUAAGGCCGAGCCAUAGCACUGCUCUAUCACUCACACCUCACUGCUACAGAUGCAUCAAUUCCUCCAUUGGAUUCUUACAGUAUAACUUGGAUUUAUUUAGAAACAUUUGGUACUUCUUUCUAGUUUUACCAUGUGUGGAAAAUGGCACUCAACCUGGGGGCCAUACAGUUAUUAUAAAAAGUCAUCAUUACCAUAUACAAGCCAGGCCAGUGCUAUUAAUAACAUUUCCCACAUUUAUGUGCUGCAGUUUUAUUAUUUACCUGCUGGCCUUAGUUGCUCUUCAGUGUCUCCUACAUCACAUUGUUCACACUUGGGCUACAACACUUCCCACCUCAAUUAAACAGAUAUAUUUACACGUUUGUUACUCUUGCUCAAUCGUCACUUCCUUGAGUUCAGUAAUAAUAUCUAAUUAAGCUUUAUAGCACAUAGCACAUAGUAGUUACUCAAUAAAUAUUUAUUGGAUGAAUUACAGAUUAGAGGAAAUGGGUGAAUCUGUAUCUAAAUAAUAUAAGUUGCUUGAGGAAAAUCCGGGAAGCAACUUUCACAUAAUUGAUAACCAGAAUACACCACCAAACACCAGAAAUGAUUAAAAUCUCCAUAAGUGAUACUGUUAAAACUAAAAAUAUGUCCUAUGCCCACUUAGCUUUGCCAGAUAUCUAAGAGAUGCAUAAAAGUUAACCUGAAUGUGUACCCAUCAUAUUAAUUUCUUAUAUUACAUGAUUGUUACUACCUAGAGAUUUAGUGAUAAAAUAGGUGAAGGGAGGAGGAAGAGAAAAGAAGAAUUUUUACUGGUUGUGAAAAUUCCCAAAUGGUAACUCCAGUUGCUACUUUCCCCCCAACUAUAUCAUUAAUUACUCUUAAGUUGCUAUGUAUCUGUAGAAACCAAAAGAUCAUACCACGAUUCACAAGACACAAUGCUAUAUGAAUAAGUAGUCUAGAUGGGGAGCUAUAAUCUUCUUGUGGGGCUUUGGAGAAGCUGUAACCACAUGAGGAAAGUCUGACUGGUUAAUAUAGCCAGUCAAGCCAUUGCUUGCAUUUAAGAACACUGUAACCCCAAACACACAGACUUGGUUUUAUAUAAUGCGUGGGUAUAACUCCAAUGCGUCUGCAUACUGCAAGGAUUUUUCCAUCUCAUGUUGGCCCUAAUUUCCAUUUCUUUAGACUACUUCACUUCUCUCUUUGAGCUCUAUGGGUGCUAACAUUACAUCCUAAGUGGGCAAAACUGAGACUCCUCUUUCCAUCUUAGCUACGACCAUGAAAUGUAGAUAUUUAGCUACCAGUGGAUUCCGUCAUCCAGCUAAACAUGAACCUGGAUCAAAGGGAGAAUAUGCAGAGAGAAAAGGGAAGCAUUUUUCCUCUUCACCUGUGAAUAAUAAACAAAAGUACCCUUUUGGAACCAAAUGGGUAACUCCAAGAGAGAAGCCAUUUCAAAGCAGUUUGUUAUUUAGACUGUGGCAAAAGCAUAGCAAACAUUAUUUAAAAUACAACUCCUAAGAAACCAACCAGAGAAAUAAAAACCAGGAAAUUAAAAAGGUAUAGUUUAAAAUGAAACCCUAUCAUAACAUAACUCUAGAGUUAGGGAAACUCAGGUCCAGUCCCCCGCUUUAUAGACUAACCUCAUUCCCUCAGGCUUUUCACAGGUGAACUUAUGUUUUGCAUGAAUGAGAGCACGAUGAGAUCCACAGCUACCUGGAUUUGAAUAACAACGAGCCACUGUGAGUGUGGCACUCUGUAUCGAGGAUAUGACGUGCAGUGAAUGGACUCUGGGAUGAGGAUGCUCCCCUGGACCUGUCACUAUGUUAGCAAAUCAGACUCACUUUGGAACUGGGAAUUUGAGUUCUGUCCCGAGUUAUGAGCCUGAAGACUGGGGUACGAGCAAGAUGGGGGUGAGAAUAAGGGCCGAACAGUAUAGCAGAAGCAAAUGGAGUAGUCUCCACAAGGGAACUCCAGUCUUAAGAACAAAUUAUGCUUCAUGGGAUAUACGAUCCUCAGGACAUUCACGGGAUAUACGAUCCUCAGGACAUUCAGGCAUUGAAUAGGAAAUAUUAAUAAUGAUACCUGUGUCCUUUAGUGGAGAGCUUUCCACAUAAAAUAAAAAUACUUUACGUAUUAAUGAGGCAAAAAAAUCAAGAAAUAUGAC
RNA transcript from Balaenoptera ricei (Rice's whale), 4878 nucleotides. It is a transcript of the gene named mitochondrial transcription termination factor 1, with no coding region annotated. NCBI's taxonomy places the organism in Eukaryota, Metazoa, Chordata, Mammalia, Artiodactyla, Balaenopteridae. The transcript is spliced from 15 exons. The record is from RefSeq and is a predicted model, not a curated record.